CGGACGAACGCUGGCGGCGUGCUUAACACAUGCAAGUCGAGCGGUAAGGCCUUUCGGGGUACACGAGCGGCGAACGGGUGAGUAACACGUGGGUGAUCUGCCCUGCACUUCGGGAUAAGCCUGGGAAACUGGGUCUAAUACCGGAUAUGACUUCAGGUUGCAUGACUUGGGGUGGAAAGAUUUAUCGGUGCAGGAUGGGCCCGCGGCCUAUCAGCUUGUGGUGGGUAAUGACCUACGAGGCGACGACGGUAGCCGACCGUGAGAGGUGACCGGCCACACUGGACUGAGACACCGGCCCAGACUCCGUACGGGAGGCAGCGAGGUGGGGAAUAUUGGCAC
This 339-nucleotide ribosomal RNA is filed under the name uncultured soil bacterium. Its description in RNAcentral is "bacterial SSU rRNA". It matches the Rfam family "Bacterial small subunit ribosomal RNA", at positions 27 to 370 of the family's 1533-position model. The record is from RNAcentral.